GCCUUCGUGGUGUAGCGGUCAGCACGUUCGGUGUUUUUUUUAGAUGUCCGUGGUUCGAGUCCCGGCGAGGGUA
RNAcentral lists this transfer RNA (73 nucleotides) under Stegodyphus mimosarum. It matches the Rfam family "tRNA". Rfam says of the family: Transfer RNA (tRNA) molecules are approximately 80 nucleotides in length. Their secondary structure includes four short double-helical elements and three loops (D, anti-codon, and T loops). The record is from Rfam by way of RNAcentral. Lineage: Eukaryota; Metazoa; Arthropoda; Arachnida; Araneae; Eresidae.